AAGUGUUUAUUUCCCCAAGGAACUAUUUUUGCCUAUUUAGGAGAGAUAACUUACCUCCAAUUUCAAAUACACAUUUUAAAAUAAUGUACUUAUUUUAAAAAACAAAGGGCAUAAUUCUAUUUAAACUAGGACCAAAAUGAAAUCCUAUUUGUGCUAUAAACAACUACACAGACCUCUAUCCAAUUCUUCUCUCUUGCAUCAACUUCUAAUAAAGUGUUUUUCAUCUUACCC
Molecule: long non-coding RNA, 231 nt
Filed under: Bos taurus (domestic cattle)
Lineage: Eukaryota; Metazoa; Chordata; Mammalia; Artiodactyla; Bovidae
Description: long non-coding RNA NONBTAT009617
Source: RNAcentral